CAGUCGCCACGGGAAUACGAAGGGGGCUAGCGUUGUUCGGAUUUACUGGGCGUAAAGCGCACGUAGGCGGAUUGGUAAGUUAGGGGUGAAAUCCUGGAGCUCAACUCCAGAACUGCCUUUAAUACUGCCAAUCUCGAGUCCGGAAGAGGUAAGUGGAACUCCUAGUGUAGAGGUGGAAUUCGUAGAUAUUAGGAAGAACACCAGUGGCGAAGGCGGCUUACUGGUCCGGUACUGACGCUGAGGUGCGAAAGCGUGGGGAGCAAACAGGAUUAGAUACCCCAGUAGUCCCUGUCUCUUAUAC
RNAcentral lists this ribosomal RNA (301 nucleotides) under uncultured bacterium. Its description in RNAcentral is "partial 16S ribosomal RNA". It matches the Rfam family "Bacterial small subunit ribosomal RNA", at positions 509 to 807 of the family's 1533-position model. The record is from RNAcentral.